RNAcentral lists this ribosomal RNA (429 nucleotides) under uncultured bacterium. RNAcentral describes it as "bacterial SSU rRNA". It matches the Rfam family "Bacterial small subunit ribosomal RNA", at positions 355 to 776 of the family's 1533-position model. The record is from RNAcentral.
UCGAGAAUAAUUCGCAAUGGACGAAAGUCUGACGAUGCGACGCCGCGUGAACGAUGAAGGCCUUCGGGUUGUAACGUUCUGUUGCCUUGGAACAAGAGUAGUCAACUAAUAACUGGCUACAAUGAGGGUACAAGGAGAGGAAGCACCGGCUAAUUCCGUGCCAGCAGCUGCGGUAAUACGGAAGGUGCAAGCGUUAGUCGGAAUUACUGGGCGUAAAGGGUGCGUAGGCGGUGAUAUAAGUCAGUCGUGAAAUUCCGGGGCUCAACCUCGGAGCUGCGAAUGAUACUGUAUUACUUGAGGAAUGGCGGAGAAAAUGGAAUUCCAUAUGUAGCGGUGAAAUGCGUAGAUAUAUGGAAGAACACCUGUGGCGAAAGCGGUUUUCUAGCCUUCUCCUGACGCUGAGGCACGAAAGCAAGGGGAGCAAACAGG